AAAGUAAAUUAGGGUUAUGAUGGAAUCCAUUUUAAUUUUUAUAAUAGAUCCGUCCCAAAUCUGUCUAAACAUUUCACACGGAUUUCGGACGGAACUCGUUAAAAACAUUAACAAUGCACAAAAUUAUGGAUCCGUCUCAAAGCCGUCCCAAUAUUUCACACGAAUUUGGGACGGAAAUCGUGAAAAAAAUAUAAAAUAUUCAAAAAUAUGCAUUUCGUCUGAAAUCCGUCUCAACCUUUCAAACAAAUUUGAAAUUUGUCCAAAAUCUGUCUGAAAGUGUAAUUUUGCUUCAGACAAAAUUCAUUCCGUCCCAAAAAUCCGUCCCAAAUGAUCAAUUUUCUAGUAGUG
RNAcentral lists this long non-coding RNA (348 nucleotides) under Trifolium pratense (red clover). Its description in RNAcentral is "long non-coding RNA (TPRA_LNC006448)". Lineage: Eukaryota; Viridiplantae; Streptophyta; Magnoliopsida; Fabales; Fabaceae. The record is from RNAcentral.